CUUGGUCAUUUAGAGGAAGUAAAAGUCGUAACAAGGUUUCCGUAGGUGAACCUGCGGAAGGAUCAUUACAGAGAACAUCGCCCUUUAGGGUGACUCUCCAACCCUGUGUUUUUAUACCUUUGUUGCUUUGGCGAGCCGCUUCGGCCACCGGCUUUAUGCUGGUGAGUGCUCGCCAGAGGACCAUAAACUCUUGAAUUUUAUUAUCGUCUGAGUACUAUAUAAUAGUUAAAACUUUCAACAACGGAUCUCUUGGUUCUGGCAUCGAUGAAGAACGCAGCGAAAUGCGAUAAGUAAUGUGAAUUGCAGAAUUCAGUGAAUCAUCGAAUCUUUGAACGCACAUUGCGCCCUGUGGUAUUCCGCAGGGCAUGCCUGUUCGAGCGUCAGUACAACACUCAAGCUCAGCUUGGUCUUGAGCCCAGCGGUCACCCGCAGGCUUUAAAAUCAGUGGCGGCGCCAUCUGGCUCUAAGCGUAGUAAUUAAACCCCUCGCUAUUGAGUUCAGGUGGAUGCUAGCCAGCAACCCCCAACUUUCUAAGUUUGACCUCGGAUCAGGUAGGGAUACCCGCUGAACUUAAGCAUAUCAAUAAGCGGAGGAAAAGAAACCAACAGGGAUUGCCUCAGUAACGGCGAGUGAAGCGGCAACAGCUCAAAUUUGAAAUCUGGCUCUUUUAGGGUCCGAGUUGUAAUUUGUAGAAGAUGCUUCGGGUGUGGCUCCGGUCUAAGUUCCUUGGAACAGGACGUCAUAGAGGGUGAGAAUCCCGUACGUGACUGGUUGCCUUCGCCCAUGUGAAGCUCUUUCGACGAGUCGAGUUGUUUGGGAAUGCAGCUCAAAAUGGGUGGUAAAUUUCAUCUAAAGCUAAAUAUUGGCCAGAGACCGAUAGCGCACAAGUAGAGUGAUCGAAAGAUGAAAAGCACUUUGGAAAGAGAGUUAAACAGUACGUGAAAUUGUUGAAAGGGAAGCGCUUGCAACCAGACUUGCACGUUGUCGAUCAUCUGGGGUUCUCUCCAGUGCACUCGAUUUCGUUCAGGCCAGCAUCGGUUUGGGUGGUUGGAUAAAGGCCUUGAGAAUGUAGCUUCUUUCGGGAAGUGUUAUAGCUCUCGGUGCAAUGCAGCCUUUCCGGACCGAGGACCGCGCUUCGGCUAGGAUGCUGGCGUAAUGGUUGUAAGCGACCCGUCUUGAAACACGGACC
This 1189-nucleotide ribosomal RNA is filed under the name uncultured fungus. RNAcentral's name for it is "eukaryotic LSU rRNA". The stretch from base 538 to 1189 matches the Rfam family "Eukaryotic large subunit ribosomal RNA", at positions 1 to 667 of the family's 3401-position model. The record is from RNAcentral. Lineage: Eukaryota; Fungi.